AUUUAAUGAGGGCCACCCUCCAAUGGCGCAGAUCACUCCACCCAGUGACCCAACAACUGUGAGCAGCCAACAUGAGCUACAGGUGGGGAGCACCAGGAUCGCUGCUGGCCACUCACAACGGGACUACCCAUACACUUACCUCUCUUGCAGAAGCCCCGACCUUUCUUGAAACUCUGGGACUGAAAGCAGCGGACACACACACC
Molecule: non-coding RNA, 203 nt
Organism: Pelobates cultripes (western spadefoot toad)
Lineage: Eukaryota; Metazoa; Chordata; Amphibia; Anura; Pelobatidae
Source: the annotation of a GenBank genome assembly